RNAcentral lists this unclassified non-coding RNA (342 nucleotides) under soil metagenome. Its description in RNAcentral is "partial contains 5.8S ribosomal RNA, internal transcribed spacer 2, and large subunit ribosomal RNA". The stretch from base 1 to 120 matches the Rfam family "5.8S ribosomal RNA", at positions 35 to 154 of the family's 154-position model. The record is from RNAcentral.
GAUGAAGAACGCAGUGAAAUGCGAUAAGUAAUGUGAAUUGCAGAAUUCAGUGAAUCAUCGAAUCUUUGAACGCACAUUGCGCCCGCCAGCACUCUGGCGGGCAUACCUGUUCGAGCGUCAUUUCAACCAUCAAGCCCCCAGGGGCUUGUGCUGGGGCCCUGCGGCUGCCCGCAGGCCCUGAAAACCAGUGGCGGGCUCGCUAGUCACACCGAGCGCAGUAGCACAUCUCGCUCAGGGCGUGCGGCGGGCUCCUGCCGUGAAACCCCCCACUGUAACCCCAAAGGUUGACCUCGGAUCAGGUAGGAAUACCCGCUGAACUUAAGCAUAUCAAUAAGCGGAGGA